Molecule: ribosomal RNA, 144 nt
Filed under: uncultured eukaryote
Lineage: Eukaryota
Description: partial 18S ribosomal RNA
Rfam family: Eukaryotic small subunit ribosomal RNA
Source: RNAcentral
UGGUGGGGUGACUUGUCUGGUUGAUUCCGAUAACGAACGAGACCGCCACCUGCUAAAUAGUCACCGGGCUCUCGCGAGCUUUCGCUUCGUGGCUUCUUAGAGGGACUGACCGUUUCUAGCGGUAGGAAGUUGGCGGCAAUAACA